GUUAGUAGAAAAAAAAAAAUAUAAGAAAAAUAAUUGUUUAGAAUACACAGCUCACUUUGAAACUUUCCGAUUUAAGGCAAAAUAAAAAACUCUGAUCUAGACUUGACUAACUGAAUUUUGUUUAUAAAAUUCUGCGAAAGCAGAACCAGUUUUAUUCAGACAUAUCCAGGCCAAUCCAGGCAGUUGAGCGUUCAACAUAACCUAAAUUGUAGCGCAUGUGCUAUCUCCAAAACCAAAUCGACAAGCCCAAAUUACAUCAGGUUUGUCCCCAGAAUUUCAAACAAAUGUAUACAUAUGUAUAUAAGUACAUAUGUUCACAAAAGAAAUGGCAGAGAAACUCACUGAUAUGUACAUAUGUAUAAUCAUAUCACAGUCAAAGACAACCAACUAGAACUAAAAUCAUUAAUGGUUAAACAAAUGAAUUGGGCUUACAAGCUAACAUAACAGAUACAGGAUUUUUACAUAUUCUGAGUUUUAGAGAAGAAAUCAAAAGUAAUUUGUCCUCCCAGUUGCAGAUACUAAUAUGAACAAACCAUUAAAUAGCAAUAAAAAUUGACUCCAUACUGGUAUUCAAAGAAAGUUGGAACUAUCAGUUGGAACUAACAAAAUUAUCAUUAAAAUACCAACACCUUUUUCCUCAUGCGUUUCAUACAGAUGAAAGUGAAGAUGACAAAGAUGAUGUACAGCAUCAAUAUACAACCAACGAAGGAAAUAAAAAUCAAUUCAAAGUAAUCAAGAAAGCAAAGCGCAUUGGGUCCAAAGAUAAACUAACAAAAAUAACAGAAGAAACUAUAUGAAAAACUACACUUAUAGUGUAGUUGUUUGUGGAAAAUGCCUUUGGAUCAAUUAACCCUGGGGAAGUAAUGUAGAAUUUUGCAGACAGCUUUAAUGAACUCAGUUAUAUGAUCAAAAACAUUUAUCUUCUUUGAACAGAAAGAACUAUUAGAAAUAAAUGCAGUAAGAUCAUUAAGAAGUUGAACACAAACAAUUUUGAAGAGAAUAACAGCUACGCUAAGAAUGCAGUGAAUUUUACAUCCUAGAAUAAAAUUGUAGAACUCAGAGAAGCCAAAUCUUCUAAAUAACAUACACCAUCAAUUGUAUUAACAUAUAAAUAAUGAAGAAUACAAUUAAGGAAUGCAAACAGAUACCACUUUCACUACAAACAGAUGCAGAUACUAAUUAAUAAAACCAUUCUAGACAUUAUAUGCCUUCAGGCAACUAAUUUCUAAAGGGGAAUAAUAGAUAUUGGUAAUUUUUGGCAACAGUAGUUUUUGUAGGAUAUGUUUCUACAAGUUUUAAGGAGUUCAAAAUACAUCAUGGUUCACCUUGGAGAUGAUGGAAAAGUAAUAAACAUGUCUACUCACUUUUGACUCUCACUAUAUAUCCCCCUCUCCGAAAGGCUCUUGGAUUGUUCGUUGUAAUUAUCGAAUAUCAAGGAUUGGAGGAACUACGAAAUAGACACAAAAUCUCAAAGGAAUCCAAGAAAAUAUUCAAAACCGAUAAAAGCAAAGAAAACAAAUUGAAAUUUAUAAAAACAUCAAACGUAGGGGGCGUGAUAUAGAUCUAAAUGUAACCGUCGCUAAUGACCAAACUGUCGAUGCGACGUUAAACAACUCCUUGAAGAAGGAGAAGAAGAAGAAGAAAGCAAAGAGAGGGAACUUGAAAUUCCUACUGUACGCUGAGACAGAAAACAUUUCACAGGAGUUUUCCUAUUGUUUCCGACCGGAAACUUUUAAACCAGCUCCUGGUGGAAAUAUUACAUCGUUUGACGGUAUGAAAAGUGACGGCUGAAGUGGUACAGCAUGUUGAAAUGGUGCACGGCGGUACGCGAGCAAGACAUUAGCAGCGAUAAAAUUUUACAACUUUGACAACUCUACGGAUGCCAUGAUGAAAUUUAUUAGUAGACCAUCGUUAUAUUGCUGCUGACGGCGCUGCAAGAGCGAAAAAAGCUCUAGCGGUAUAAGCAUAGUGAAUCGGCCCCAGUAACAAUUUCGGUUAUUUAUAGCAUGUAAUGCGUUUUGCUUAAAGAACAACUGUGAGCAAUCGUAACCCCGUACCCCCUCCAUAAGGGAAAUAUGAGGGUAAAAACCCUAAACUUUACUGUUUCUUUCCUUGGAAAUUGUUUAAGAUAUUUGAAUACAUUAAAGUGCAAAUAGUAGGUACUCAUUGCAUUUUAUAUAUACAGGGUGGUCAACAUAUCUUGAGAUAAGUCAAUAUCUUCUAAACAACACAUUGUUGGAAAAAAUGUUGCAGACAAAAGUUGUCAUGUGUCAGGGGUUAAAUUGGAUAGUCGGAAUGGAUUUUUUCAGUGGGUACUCCUGCAGGUCAUAUGAAGUUCAACUUAAUUUUUUAUUAUACUAUCAUAAUCUCUAGGAGAAUAUAGGUAACUUUUGUACGAAAGAUUUUUUCGUGGAUCGUCAACUUCCGGAGAUAAACCAUUAAAUAUUUAAGAGGAUGUGAUGGGUAAAAACACGUACAAGGAGCAUUGUAUUUAUAAUCGCUUUAUAAUUUUUAACAAACAUUUUACCGAUUUUAUGACAUAGAAUUUGCUAAGGACGAAGCGAAAAUUAAAGAUCCUAAAUGCAUGGUAUAAAAACGAAAAAUUACUCUAUUGCCAGCAAUACCCGUAAAACAAUCCUUUACUACAUAACUAUUAGCUAUAAAAGUUUCAAGAGAGUCGGAUUGGUACAACAGGGUUAAAAAAAAGUAAAACUAACGCAACGCCCCUUCAUAAGAGGCAAAGUUAGGCUAAACCGUUAGUGAUGCUCAAAAUCUAACUGACCUACAAGGGAACAAACAAUACCGUUGCAUUGGUCUUGCCACUUUUCUCAUACCAGAAACAGCUCUCAGAAAAACAUGAACCUCUUUCUUCAACUAAACUAUGUGGUUUUUAAAUAAGGAAUUUAGUCCACAGUCAUUUGUUUAAAUAUUAUAUCAACAAUUUAGUAAAGUUUUGUAGGAGCAGAAAAAGGGAGUUUCUCGUUUACCGGACUCGUUACUGCGGCUGACGACAGACGAUCCCUGUCCCAUACACCUAUAAUGACAUUUCUCGGAACUCCUACAUGUCGGUAUCGCAUGCCGGGCGACCGCCAGCGAGAACAGUAUCAUUCCUGUCGCUAUUUGGCUGUCGCCGGCCCGAGUUAAAGGCGUCCGGGGAGACUUAGGCACCCCCCCUUUCACUAAACGCCUACACAUUUUAAUUAAGUUUUCUUACUGAAUGGCAAUCUCCUUUUGCGUAAAGUAUAUACGAAGUGUGGAAUAAAUUAGGGAAUAUAUGGUUUUGAAAUUUUUUUUCACUAUUUCAGAACAGAUACUCUUGAAACUUUUACAGAUAAUAGUUAAGUAGUAAAGGAUUAUUCUUAAUCUUUUCGAUGAGUGUCACUCAAGGGGUUGUUUAUAGAAAUUAUCUUUAAAAACUUAUUUAUUAAUUUUCAAUCCUUAAUUAUCGGAUAUUAAUUUUGGGAAAUAUAUAUGAAAUACAGCUAAUAAGUACCUACUAUUUGCACUUUAAUGUGUUCAAAUACUGUAAACAGUUUCCAAGAAAAAAAUAUAGUAAAGUUUAUGGUAUUUACCCUCAUAUCCCCCUUAUUGG
Molecule: long non-coding RNA, 3592 nt
Organism: Osmia lignaria (orchard mason bee)
Lineage: Eukaryota; Metazoa; Arthropoda; Insecta; Hymenoptera; Megachilidae
Source: RefSeq, a predicted model, not a curated record